Molecule: small nuclear RNA, 106 nt
Organism: Hyaena hyaena (striped hyena)
Lineage: Eukaryota; Metazoa; Chordata; Mammalia; Carnivora; Hyaenidae
Source: RefSeq, a predicted model, not a curated record
GUGCUCGCUUUGGCAGCACAUAUACCAAAAUUGGAAUGAUACACAGAAGAUUAGCUUGGCCCCUGUCCAGACUAUAGUGACAGAUGGUGGCUACAGCUACACUUUU